This is a long non-coding RNA of Saccostrea cuccullata (small rock oyster), 1031 nucleotides long. RefSeq lists it as uncharacterized. Lineage: Eukaryota; Metazoa; Mollusca; Bivalvia; Ostreida; Ostreidae. The transcript has 2 exons. The record is from RefSeq and is a predicted model, not a curated record.
UAGAGAUAUAUUUAACACAAUUUCAUAAGUCAAAGUCACUCAUAAAAAAAAUUAUUCAAUUUUUAUUUCAACAUUCCUCUUUUUUUUGGAAUGUAAAAUGUGACAUUGCAUAGGGUCUUAUAUUAAAUGGUUGUAUGAGCCUAUAAAAUCUUACUCUACAGACACAGUUCUUUUGCUAAUUUUACUAGCGAUGUUUCUUCAAUAAAAAUCAGUUUUUCUAGUUGCCAUGGAAACUGUCUUUAAUUAAUAAAAGUUAAAAUUAAAAUUGUGUGUCGGACGAACUCUUGUCUGUCCAAUUUACACUGACCAAAAAUGAUUAAAUUGACAGAUGUUGCAUGCGUGUUUCAAGCUUCUUGCCGCUUUUCAGCUGUAGAUAUGCACUUUCUUGCAUAAUAAAAUUUAUUUCUAUCCAGAUAACAUUGUUUUUCUGUGAAAUAUGUUAAAUCAAUUAAAUCUUCUCCUUUGUCUGUCCUAUGUUACGGGCGAAAAUUGUAAAAUUAAAUACCGAUUUUUUCAAUCAACGGACCUCUCUGGGGCCCCUUUUACGACAUACAUGUCUUGAGAUGGUAGAAAACGAGUGCAUCACGUGUUUACCGCAAACCAGUCUGUUUACAAGAUGGACGGAGGCAAGGAAAAAUAGUUGUCCGUCUCACUGAAAUUGAAAUAACUUCGUAAUUUCAUCAAAAUAUAAAGUAAAGCGAUGAUUUUUCAAUCUGGACAGAAUGAUUUCCAUUCGGACGUAACAAGGACAAAUACUUUAAAGAUAUCUAUGUUAUUAUGGUAAUUAUAUUGAAUUCUUAAUGUUUAAUGUCAAGCAAACUUGAGUGAAAUUUUUUUAAUGAUCUCGGUCAUAUCUAUAAAAGUUGAUUACAGAUUACCUCUAAUUAAUUCAAAUGAAAUAGAUUUAAUAUCUUAAUUUCUUCUUUUAACAGUAUAUACCAAAGAGACAGUUGAAGAUCUUGAGAGGAACUUCAUAGCAGCUAUAUAAAGAUUAUGUCAAUAAUUACCUGAAUAAAUAUCUUUUAGAUGGA